Molecule: long non-coding RNA, 378 nt
Organism: Galleria mellonella (greater wax moth)
Lineage: Eukaryota; Metazoa; Arthropoda; Insecta; Lepidoptera; Pyralidae
Exons: 3
Source: RefSeq, a predicted model, not a curated record
CGUACAGCUCCUUGAAGCCGUUCAUGGGCACCCGCGACGUACCCGUCACGAACUGUAGCAGCCGCGACCGCAUCUCGUUCGAAAACGACAGCACUACCUGCGCACGCGCACAAAUAUUACCAUUAUUCAUACCAAAGACAGCUUUCUGCGCAAUUGUGUACCAACUAAAAAAAAAACAUGGAGUGGGCUAAAUAGAGUGCCCUGUGAGACACCACCUCCAACGAUGGACUGAUGACGACAUACCUUGAUGUAUAUGAGCGAGUUAUAGUACUCCAAGUCGACCGACUCCAUGUCCUGCAGCUCUAUGGGCUUGCUCAGCAUCAUUUUGUAGAAUGGACGGAUGAAGAAUGCUGCAAGUGAUGGCACGAUUAAAGAAUU